This is a non-coding RNA of Trichobilharzia regenti, 46 nucleotides long. NCBI's taxonomy places the organism in Eukaryota, Metazoa, Platyhelminthes, Trematoda, Strigeidida, Schistosomatidae. The record is from Rfam.
AUCGAUGAUGAGUCCCAAAUAGGACGAAAUGCGCGUUAUCCUGGAU